This 402-nucleotide long non-coding RNA is filed under the name Callithrix jacchus (white-tufted-ear marmoset). RNAcentral describes it as "lncRNA (ENSCJAG00000077945.1)". Lineage: Eukaryota; Metazoa; Chordata; Mammalia; Primates; Cebidae. The record is from RNAcentral.
GUGUGGACAUCCUUGUUUUGUUCCAGUUCUUAGAGGAAAUGUUUUCAACUUUUUUCCACUCUUUCUGGAGGCUGGGAAGUCCAAGAUCAAGGUGCUGGCAGGUUCCAUGUCUGCCACACCUACCUUCCUCCUGCCCCAUCCAUCCUUUAACCACUGGCAACCAUGAAUCUGUCCUCCAUUUCUAGAAUUUUGUUAUUUCAGGAAUGUCACAUUAAAGGGAUCAUAUGAUGGAGUUUUGCUCUUUUGCCCAGGCUGGAGUGCAAUGGCAUGAUCUUGGCUCACCGCAACCUCUGCCUCCCGGGUAGCUGUGAUUACGGGUAUGUGCCACCACACCUGGCUAAUUUUGUAUUUGUAGUAGAGACGGGGUUUCUUCAUAUUGGUCAGACUGGUCUCAAACUCCCG